AUCCUUGAAAAUACAAAUAUAAAAUGCAAACUGCAGCGGAAGAAUUUAAAAUUCAUGCCAAACCAUCUAAUUCCUCCAUUCAAGUUCUUCUCGACGCUCAUCACAAAUCAAUCCUAAUUUACGGAAACUGAAUCACAAUAAACUAUAAUGAGUACGAAACUCAGUAAGUAAACCAGUUUUGCAUAUACCAAAAUACAUACAUACAUAUAUAUAUUGCAAAUUGUAAAACAAAUCAUCGAAAUCUCAUUCUGUCUUUCUCAAACUUUCACAUUCUCUUUCAAACCACUUACUUGAGCUACCUUCAUUCGAUUACCGCUUAGUAGGACACUCCCUUAACUUUCAUAACUUUCAUAACUUUUAUACUCUUUGGGCUUCUCGCCAAUGCGUCAUUCGCCCACUUAUCUCAUAACUAUAUAAACAUCUAGAGUGUCCUCUACUAAGCCAGUAACGAAUUCAAGCAUCCAAGCUAAAACUAUAAAACAAUUUUUCUUUCUACAAAUUCCAUUUGGCUAAAAUCCACUCUAUCAUUUUAUAGAAAACAUAAUGCAUUUCGUGCUCAUGCCAAUGAAAUAUUCACACAUACAUAUGCCCAUGUCCAUAAACACACAUAACACAUAACAACACAUCCUAUCAACACAUCACGUAAACACAUGGGCAAAGCAUAUAAAUCAAUAUCCGUAUAUAUCAAAAUAGACUUUUCAAACAUGUCAACAUAUAUAUUGUUUAUUGUGAUUCGUUUGGAAAUCUAGUUUACUUACCUCCUGGUAUCCUCGAGUAACAAAUGCACAUCAAUAUCAUCGGCCUAAAAAUAAAUAAAAAUACUCUCAUAAGAAUAAAAUUAAACCAUAAUCAUAAACUCCAAUAUUCUCAAAUUCCUCAAUAUAAUCAUAUUCCAUACUUAACCUCAAAUAAUUUUAAUUUAAAUCAUAAAUCAUCAAAAUACUCAUAAUUCUUAAAAUUACAAAAUUACCCUCAAAUAUCAAAAUUACCAAAAUACCCUCAAAUAUCAAAAUUACCAAAUUAACCUCAAAAUCACAAAUUACCAUCUUUAUCCUCAAUUUCAGCAAUUACUAAAAUACCCACAAAAUCUAAAAUUACAAAAUUGCCUUUAGACUGUGAAAUUACCGAAAUACCCUUGCCGGUCAACAGUCACCGAAAUUCAACCAACGGCGACAGGAAGCUCAGAACUGAAAGUUCAAGCCAUGCUGAGUCCAAUGGUGGCGG
This 1224-nucleotide long non-coding RNA is filed under the name Citrus sinensis (sweet orange). RNAcentral's name for it is "long non-coding RNA (CSIN_LNC001207)". Lineage: Eukaryota; Viridiplantae; Streptophyta; Magnoliopsida; Sapindales; Rutaceae. The record is from RNAcentral.